GAUGAACGCUAGCGGGAGGCCUAACACAUGCAAGCCGAGCGGUAUAGAAUCUUCGGAUUUUAGAGAGCGGCGUACGGUGCGGAACACGUGUGCAACCUACCUUUAUCUGGAGGAUAGCCUUUCGAAAGGAAGAUUAAUACUCCAUAAUAUAUUGAUUGGCAUCAAUUAAUAUUGAAAGCUCCGGCGGAUAGAGAUGGGCACGCGCAAGAUUAGUUAGUUGGUGAGGUAACGGCUCACCAAGACGAUGAUCUUUAGGGGGCCUGAGAGGUGAUCCCCCACACUGGUACUGAGACACGGGCCAGACUCCUACGGGAGGCAGCAGUGAGGAAUAUUGGACAAUGGGUGCAAGCCUGAUCCAGCCAUCCCGCGUGAAGGACGACUGCCCUAUGGGUUGUAAACUUCUUUUGUAUAGGGAUAAACCUCUCCUCGUGAGGAGAGCUGAAGGUACUAUACGAAUAAGCACCGGCUAACUCCGUGCCAGCAGCCGCGGUAAU
Molecule: ribosomal RNA, 494 nt
Filed under: uncultured bacterium
Lineage: Bacteria
Description: bacterial SSU rRNA
Rfam family: Bacterial small subunit ribosomal RNA
Source: RNAcentral